Molecule: ribosomal RNA, 465 nt
Filed under: uncultured bacterium
Lineage: Bacteria
Description: bacterial SSU rRNA
Rfam family: Bacterial small subunit ribosomal RNA
Source: RNAcentral
CCUACGGGACGCACCAGUAGGGAAUCUUCGGCAAUGGACGAAAGUCUGACCGAGCAACGCCGCGUGAGUGAAGAAGGUUUUCGGAUCGUAAAACUCUGUUGUUAGAGAAGAACAAGUAAGAGGGUAACUGCUCUUACCUUGACGGUAUCUAACCAGAAAGCUACGGCUAACUACGUGCCAGCAGCCGCGGUAAUACGUAGGUGGCAAGCGUUGUCCGGAUUUAUUGGGCGUAAAGCGAGCGCAGGCGGUCUUUUAAGUCUGAUGUGAAAGCCCUCGGCUCAACCGAGGAAGGUCAUUGGAAACUGGAGGACUUGAGUGCAGAAGAGGAGAGUGGAAUUCCAUGUGUAGCGGUGAAAUGCGUAGAUAUAUGGAGGAGCACCAGUGGCGAAGGCGACUCUCUGGUCUGUAACUGACGCUGAGGCUCGAAAGCGUGGGGAGCAAACAGGAUUAGAUACCCCCGUAGUC